GAUGAAUGCUGGCGGCGUGCCUAACACAUGCAAGUCGAGCGGCAGCGCGAGUAGUUUACUACUUGGCGGCGAGCGGCGGACGGCUGAGUAACGCGUGGGAACGUGCCCCAAAGUGAGGGAUAACGCACCGAAAGGUGUGCUAAUACCGCAUAUGGUCUUCGGAUUAAAGAAUUUAUUCGCUUUGGGAGCGGCCCGCGUCGGAUUAGGUAGUUGGUAGGGUAAUGGCCUACCAAGCCGACGAUCCGUAGCUGGUCUGAGAGGAUGAUCAGCCAGACUGGAACUGGGACACGGUCCAGACUCCUACGGGAGGCAGCAGUGAGGAAUCUUCCACAAUGGGGGGGAGCCUGAUGGAGCAACGCCGCGUGCAGGAUGAAGGCUUUCGGGUUGUAAACUGCUUUUAUAAGUGAAGAAUAUGACGGUAACUUAUGAAUAAGCACCGGCUAACUACGUGCCAGCAGCCGCCGUAA
RNAcentral lists this ribosomal RNA (467 nucleotides) under uncultured bacterium. Its description in RNAcentral is "partial 16S ribosomal RNA". It matches the Rfam family "Bacterial small subunit ribosomal RNA", at positions 28 to 523 of the family's 1533-position model. The record is from RNAcentral.